CAUGGAGGGUGAGAAUCCCGUCCGGUUGAUCAUUUGCGUUUUAUGAUACGCUUUCUAAGAGUCAAGUUGUUUGGGAUUGCAGCUUAAAAUGGGAGGUAAAUUUCUCCUAAGGCUAAAUAACGGCGAGAGACCGAUAGCGAACAAGUACCGUGAGGGAAAGAUGAAAAGAACUUUGAAAAGAGAGUUAAACAGUACGUGAAAUUGUCGAAAGGGAAACGAUUGAAGCCAGUCGUACCUUCGGGUAAUCAGCCUUUUCGGGUGCGAUUCUGUGGGGUUUGAUGAGCUUAACACCUUCAUGCUCUGCAUAUUCGUGCUCUUGGGUGUACUUGCCCGUGUGGUUGGUUAACAUCAAUUUUGGUGGUCAUAAAAUGACUGGAGGAAUGUAGCUUCGAUCUUGUAUUGAAGUGUUAUAGCCUUCGGUAGAUGUGAUGAUCGAGAUUGAGGAUUGCAACGGAUACCCUUCGGGGCUACCUGUCUGAUCUCUGAUCGUUGCUCUGGUGCCGAAAGCUUGCUUACGGUUAUCAAAGUCGAUGGUCAAUAGGUUAGAAUGGGUUAAAUUCGUUAAGGAUGUUGACGUAAUG
RNAcentral lists this ribosomal RNA (581 nucleotides) under uncultured Glomus. RNAcentral's name for it is "eukaryotic LSU rRNA". It matches the Rfam family "Eukaryotic large subunit ribosomal RNA", at positions 204 to 636 of the family's 3401-position model. Lineage: Eukaryota; Fungi; Glomeromycota; Glomeromycetes; Glomerales; Glomeraceae. The record is from RNAcentral.